UACGAAGGGAGCGAGCGUUGUUCGGAAUCACUGGGCUUAAAGCGUGCGUAGGCGGAUCUGUAAGUCAGAAGUGAAAUCCCGGGGCCUAACCCCGGAACUGCUUUUGAGACUGCAAGUCUAGAAUUCGGUAGAGGUUAGUGGAAUAUCCAGUGUAGAGGUGAAAUUCGCAGAUAUUGGAUGGAACACCAGUGGCGAAGGCGACUAACUGGGCCGACAUUGACGCUGAGGCACGAAAGCGUGGGUAGCAAACAGG
This 253-nucleotide ribosomal RNA is filed under the name uncultured bacterium. RNAcentral's name for it is "partial 16S ribosomal RNA". It matches the Rfam family "Bacterial small subunit ribosomal RNA", at positions 524 to 776 of the family's 1533-position model. The record is from RNAcentral.